CACAAGCGGAGGAGCAUGUGGUUUUAAUUCGAUGAUACGCGAGGAACCUUACCUGGGCUCGAACGUAAGAUGACUGUAGGUGAAAGCUUACAUCUCUUCGAGCAUUCACGAGGUGCUGCUAUGGUUGUCGUCAGCUCGUGUCGUGAGAUGUUGGGUUAAGUCCCGCAACGAGCGCAACCCUUGCCUUUAGUUGCCAGCAGUUCGGCUGGGCACUCUAAAGGGACUGCCGGUGUUAAACCGGAGGAAGGUGGGGAUGACGUCAAGUCCUCAUGGCCUUUAUGACCAGGGCUACACACGUACUACAAUGGCCGAUACAAAGGGCAGCGACACUGCGAGGUGAAGCCAAUCCCGUAAAAUCGGUCUCAGUCCGGAUUGGAGUCUGCAACUUGACUCCAUGAAGUUGGAAUCGCUAGUAAUCGUGGAUCAGCAUGCCACGGUGAAUACGUUCCCGGGCCUU
This 457-nucleotide ribosomal RNA is filed under the name uncultured Desulfobulbus sp. Its description in RNAcentral is "bacterial SSU rRNA". It matches the Rfam family "Bacterial small subunit ribosomal RNA", at positions 924 to 1382 of the family's 1533-position model. The record is from RNAcentral. Lineage: Bacteria; Pseudomonadati; Thermodesulfobacteriota; Desulfobulbia; Desulfobulbales; Desulfobulbaceae.